Molecule: microRNA precursor, 90 nt
Filed under: Canis lupus dingo (dingo)
Lineage: Eukaryota; Metazoa; Chordata; Mammalia; Carnivora; Canidae
Description: mir-8799 microRNA precursor family
Rfam family: mir-8799 microRNA precursor family
Source: Rfam by way of RNAcentral
GAGGGGAGGCGGGAUCCUGGGCUGUGUCCCCAGCGCCCUGUGCUCCCGGCCUGCGCUGUUGGAUUCGUGCUCCCGGUGGUGCAGCCCCCU